GUGGGGAAUAUUGGACAAUGGGCGAAAGCCUGAUCCAGCCAUGCCGCGUGUGUGAAGAAGGUCUUCGGAUUGUAAAGCACUUUAAGUUGGGAGGAAGGGCAGUAAGUUAAUACCUUGCUGUUUUGACGUUACCGACAGAAUAAGCACCGGCUAACUUCGUGCCAGCAGCCGCGGUAAUACGAAGGGUGCAAGCGUUAACCGGAAUUACUGGGCGUAAAGCGCGCGUAGGUGGUUUUGUAAGUUGGAGGUGAAAUCCCCGGGCUCAACCUGGGAACUGCCUGCAAAACUGCAUGACUAGAGUACGGUAGAGGGUAGUGGAAUUUCCUGUGUAGCGGUGAAAUGCGUAGAUAUAGGAAGGAACACCAGUGGCGAAGGCGACUACCUGGACUGAUACUGACACUGAGGUGCGAAAGCGUGGGGAGCAAACAGGAUUAGAUACCCUUGUAGUCC
Molecule: ribosomal RNA, 450 nt
Filed under: uncultured bacterium
Lineage: Bacteria
Description: partial 16S ribosomal RNA
Rfam family: Bacterial small subunit ribosomal RNA
Source: RNAcentral